CCCCCGGUGUCCGCCAUGGCCGAAGCCUACAACCACCUCUUCAAGUUACUGCUGAUCGGGGACUCGGGAGUGGGCAAGACUUGUCUGAUCAUUCGCUUUGCAGAAGACAACUUCAACAACACUUACAUCUCCACCAUUGUAAUUGAUUUCAAGAUCCGCACUGUGGAUAUAGAGGGGAAGAAAAUCAAACUACAAGUCUGGGACACGGCUGACCAAGAGUGAUUCAAGACAAUAAGUACUGCCUACUACCGUGGAGCCAUGGGUAUUAUCCUAGUAUACGACAUCAUGGAUGAGAAAUCUUUCGAGAAUAUUCAGAACUGGAUGAAAAGCAUCAAGGAGAAUGGCUUGGCUGGGGUGGAACACCUCUUGCUAGGGAACAAAUGUGACGUGGAGGCCAAGAGGAAGGUGCAAAAGGAGCAGGCCGAUAAGUUGGCUCCAGAGCAAGGAAUCCGAUUUUUCGAAACUAGUGCUAAAUCCAGUAUGAAUGUGGAUGAGGCUUUUAGCUCCCUGGCCCAGGACAUCUUGCUCAAGUCAGGAGACCGGAGAUCAGGAAACGGCAACAAGCCUCCCAGUACUGACCUGAAAACUUGCGACAAGAAGAACACCAGCAAGUGCUCCCUGGGCUGAGGACCCUUUCUCGCCCCCCCACCCUGGAAGCUGAACCUGAGGGAGACAGGGCAGAGGGAGUGAGCAGGGGAGAAAUAGCAGAGGGGCUUGGAGGGACACAUAGGUAGAUGGUAAAGAGAAUGAGGAAUAAAAGGAGAAGAGAAAAGGAAAAAGCAGAAAGGAAAAGAAGGAAGAGAGAGGAAGGGAGAAGGGAGAGGAAUGGAUUGAGGAAGUGAAAGAAGGUAAGGAGGUAGGAAGAGGGAGGAGGAAAGGAAGGGGAGAUGGCCUCAAGCUUCAGACCUUACCUGGGUUUUCAGGGCAAACAUAAAUGUAAAUACACUGAUUUAUUCUGUUACUAGAUCAGGUUUUAGGGUCCUGCAAAGGGCUAGCUCGGCACUACACUAGCAGAUUUGCUCCUGUUCUGUCAUUUUUCAUGGUCUUCCUUGGUUUUAAAGGCCACCAUUUGCACA
This is a non-coding RNA of Macaca mulatta (Rhesus monkey), 1076 nucleotides long. The record is from RefSeq and is a predicted model, not a curated record. Lineage: Eukaryota; Metazoa; Chordata; Mammalia; Primates; Cercopithecidae.